UAGGGAAUCUUCCGCAAUGGACGCAAGUCUGACGGAGCAACGCCGCGUGAGUGAAGAAGGAUUUCGGUUCGUAAAACUCUGUUGUUAGAGAAGAACAGCGCAUAGAGUAACUGUUAUGCGUGUGACGGUAUCUAACCAGAAAGCCACGGCUAACUACGUGCCAGCAGCCGCGGUAAUACGUAGGUGGCAAGCGUUGUCCGGAUUUAUUGGGCGUAAAGCGAGCGCAGGCGGUCAAUUAAGUCUGAUGUGAAAGCCCCCGGCUCAACCGGGGAGGGUCAUUGGAAACUGGUUGAAUUGAGUGCAGAAGAGGAGAGUGGAAUUCCAUGUGUAGCGGUGAAAUGCGUGGAUAUAUGGAGGAACACCAGUGGCGAAGGCGACUCUCUGGUCUGUAACUGACGCUGAGGUUCGAAAGCGUGGGUAGCAAACAGG
This 429-nucleotide ribosomal RNA is filed under the name Bacteroidota bacterium. RNAcentral describes it as "Bacteroidetes bacterium partial 16S ribosomal RNA". It matches the Rfam family "Bacterial small subunit ribosomal RNA", at positions 355 to 776 of the family's 1533-position model. Lineage: Bacteria; Pseudomonadati; Bacteroidota. The record is from RNAcentral.